UGGCUCAGUGGUAGAGCGCCUGCCUUGCAUGCAUGAGGCCCUGGGUUUGAUUCCUCAG
This 58-nucleotide transfer RNA is filed under the name Dipodomys ordii (Ord's kangaroo rat). It matches the Rfam family "tRNA", at positions 8 to 63 of the family's 71-position model. Rfam says of the family: Transfer RNA (tRNA) molecules are approximately 80 nucleotides in length. The record is from Rfam by way of RNAcentral. Lineage: Eukaryota; Metazoa; Chordata; Mammalia; Rodentia; Heteromyidae.